ACAAUGUGGUCAAAGCAAACUCACUUCCUCUACUUGAUGUGGGUAAGAUUUUUCCUUCGCUCAUAAACAGACAGCAGUAAAGUUUAUUUGUGUUUCAUUAAGACAACAUCAUGAGAAUCACACAGCUUCAAAUCUGUCAGUUUCUUUACAUUACAUGAAUAUCUUUUCAUUUGAUUUGUGUUUCAUUCGUUUCUAUAUCUUAAUUUUUAUGACUUUGUUUUUCUUAUCUUCUCACAGAUCUGCUCAUAUUGUGUCAAGCUGCUGAGACUUUGGAUCAACUCACAGAUUUGGGUCAAAAUGUGACUAUAAACUGUGAUCUGGAUGAAGAAGAGAUUUAUUGGUUAUUACUGAAAACAUCAGAUCCUCCUGUGAUGAUAUUACGCACUUUAUCAUCAAAACCUUUAUUCUUCAACAAAACAUUAAGACACAAAUAUUCACUUCAAUCUAAAAAUCAUCUCUUUAUAAAUAGCAUCACUAUUGAUGAAUUAGGAGUUUAUUACUGUAUGAAGAUAGAAACAACACCACCUCCAAAAUUCAGCAGUGGCACCAGACUACAUGUAAAGGAGCCAACAGAAAGACCAAACCAAGUUACUAAUAUACAGCAGAAUCAUACAGAAGUGAAUGAGAAUGAAAACAGAGUCACAUGUCAGAUUCUUACCAUCACACUUGGUCUACUGAAUGGUGUUUUGUUCAUUGUGAUCAUAGGACUAUUAAAGGUUUUCAUUGUUGGAAAUAAAAGAUUUGAAGAUUGUUCACAACAACUUCAUGACACUGAACUACAGCAGGUGACCUACAGAUGUUUAUCAGCGAGUCACAAACCAGUUACAGUUUGCAGAAGUGAACUUUUUAAAGCUGCAUAAAAGUCUCUGCAAAACAAAUCCAGUAUAACUUCUGUGUUGAUCUAAUGCUGCCAUCUUACAGUUUACACCAGCUGUUAUUAAUACUGGAUUAUAUUAAAAGUUUAAUGUGAGCAAAAAAUCCAAGGUUGUAGAUUUGAUCUCAUAAACAGACUGAUAAAUGUAAAUGCACUUGCAUGGACUGUAAAAUAUCUGCUAAAUGCAAAAUGUCUAUAAGUGAUCAGACUGAAGUACUUUAUGUACUGUAGUAUCAUAGUUUCAUAUAUGA
Paramisgurnus dabryanus is the source of this 1125-nucleotide long non-coding RNA. RefSeq lists it as uncharacterized. Lineage: Eukaryota; Metazoa; Chordata; Actinopteri; Cypriniformes; Cobitidae. The record is from RefSeq and is a predicted model, not a curated record.